Non-coding RNA from Caenorhabditis elegans, 121 nucleotides. The record is from Ensembl. Lineage: Eukaryota; Metazoa; Nematoda; Chromadorea; Rhabditida; Rhabditidae.
AAGCUCCGGUGGUGGCUCCUAAGGGGUUUCUCUUGUUUCAGAUGCACUUUUUUUUUGCAAUGUUGUGUUUUUUUGGUCUCAAAUUGAAUGCGAGGAGGAGCCCGCCUAGGAUUUUGAGAUA